RNAcentral lists this ribosomal RNA (407 nucleotides) under uncultured bacterium. RNAcentral's name for it is "bacterial SSU rRNA". It matches the Rfam family "Bacterial small subunit ribosomal RNA", at positions 355 to 776 of the family's 1533-position model. The record is from RNAcentral.
UGGGGGAUAUUGCACAAUGGGGGGAACCCUGAUGCAGCAACGCCGCGUGAGGGAAGAAGGUUUUCGGAUUGUAAACCUCUGUCCUUGGAGAAGAAAAGAAUGACGGUAACCAAGGAGGAAGCUCCGGCUAACUACGUGCCAGCAGCCGCGGUAAUACGUAGGGAGCAAGCGUUGUCCGGAAUUACUGGGUGUAAAGGGUGCGUAGGCGGCAAGGCAAGUCAGGUGUGAAAUACAUGGGCUUAACCCAUGGACUGCACUUGAAACUGCUUUGCUUGAGUGAAGUAGAGGCAGGCGGAAUUCCCGGUGUAGCGGUGAAAUGCGUAGAGAUCGGGAGGAACACCAGUGGCGAAGGCGGCCUGCUGGGCUUUAACUGACGCUGAGGCACGAAAGCAUGGGUAGCAAACAGG